UGAGUAUAAUCUUCAAAAUCGUCGCCGGCU
This 30-nucleotide non-coding RNA is filed under the name Mus musculus (house mouse). Lineage: Eukaryota; Metazoa; Chordata; Mammalia; Rodentia; Muridae. The record is from RNAcentral.